UUUCUCGCGUCUGCAGAAGUUUCCCUUAAAAAAUGGGCCACGCCUUGGGAAACGCAUGCGUAUGGGAACUGCAGGGUCCCGGGCUCGCGCAUGCGUGCUAUUUUGGUACUGCGUGCUACCACGAGGAAGGGGGUGCCUGAAAGUCCGCCAGGAAACGUGAUGAGGCGCCAGUUUGCAGCUACUUCUACCGGCCCGGGCCCCUGACUGAGGUGGAGGCAGUCCCCUCACUGCCCUUCACUAGGAAGUGCCUGGCACAUGAGACCUAGCAUGGACGUUACGGAAAGGACACUAAGAAAAUUCACAGCAUGUCAGAGCUGGAAGAGAACAAUGAGGUCGCCCAGGGUGGACUGCCCCAGCUCACAUGGUCAAUGAACGAGGAGAGCCCAUUUCCAACAGCUAGAGGUGUUCCCAGAGGCAGUGGGAGGCUACUUGAGGAGUCGAGGAGAGGAUUCUGGGCUCUAGGAUGGGGCGAUUCUGCCUAUGUCCCCUAAUUCACUCCUCUGGCCUCGUUCUGGGGGGAUGGGGUCCCUCUCUAGUCCCCCGUUCCUCCCAUUAAAGCUGGCCACAGGCUAGGCCUCGGAAGGCUUCUCCAAAGCUAAAACCAGGGGGCUGGCCUUUGAAGAUGCAGGGGAGGAGAUGAGUCAGCCAGUAGGAAAGGACCACGGGGAGGAAGAGGAGGUGACUCAGUUCUGAGCCUGGGCCCUAGGUCAAGGCAGGGCCACCUCUGAAGUAGCUGUGACUUGGUGCAGAAGGAGCUGGAGGCUGUCAGGGGAUGCCAAGCCCAGCUCUCCAUGGAGAGCAGCUGAGGACCUCAGUUUCCUCAUCCGUAAAGGGUUAGGACUGUGUUCUCUGGGGUUCAAUGGAACAGCAUCCAGACAAGAGUCCAGGACAGGGAAUGGCUUCGAGAUGAGGCCUUACACGUGUUGAAAAGUUGGAUGAAUGGAGAAUGUUUCCCUUGGAGAAGAGACAACUUGGAUGGGAGGGAAAUAAAUGCCUGAGUAUUUGGA
Phascolarctos cinereus (koala) is the source of this 1007-nucleotide non-coding RNA. The record is from RefSeq and is a predicted model, not a curated record. NCBI's taxonomy places the organism in Eukaryota, Metazoa, Chordata, Mammalia, Diprotodontia, Phascolarctidae.